UUGAUUUUAUGAUAGCCUAUUGAAACUCAAAUAUACGUAUGAUGUCUAAACAUUUUCAUUGACAAAUUACUCUAGUCAAAGCUGGGCUUUUUCUAAUUGUUAGCUUUGGAACAAAAAGGAACAGAUUUACUAAUUGUUUCUCUGUGCUGUGGAACUUUGCCAAUCUGUAUUUAUUCUUGACAUGUGCACAUAUGUGUGUUGUGCCUAUAUCAAAAUGAGCUAUUAAAAAUAGUUUUGGAAGAAGUUCAUUUUUAACCACCGAAAAAAGGACCAUAAAUGUGUGGUCAUUAAAGUCCUUAUGAUGGAUGGAUAUGGUUAAAUUAGAAAAACUUACCCCAGGUCAAGGAAUUUUCUGUCACCAGUCCUUUCCUGGAAAUGGUAAGUUUCAUCCUUUUGACCCUGCUCUAGAAAGCAACCCACAGCGAGAUGGACAUAGACUAAAGGCCUGUACUCACAGAACUUCACAGCCAAGAGACUUCAUUCAAUACCUGUCAGAGUGUAACCAUGGACUACCCGAAUCACCUGAGCUGCAUGUAGAUAUUUAGAUUUCUGCACCUCUCCUGUUCCUACAGGAUCAGAACCUCAGAAGGAGGGGAGAGAGGAGCCUGCAAAGCUGCCUUUGAGCAUGCACUGCUGUUGGUUCUUAUGUAUGACAAACUUAGGACAACUUCUCUGGUCCAUAUGCUCAUGGUGUAUAGAUGACAAUACUAAGCCCCAGAGAGAAGAAAUAACUGCUCCAAGUGCACGCAGAACCAGAAAUCCUUACCGUCUAACCUAGUGGUUUCGUACACCUAGCUGUCUGACUGAUGCAUGCUUUGAAUGCCAAUGGAUGAGUCAUUUCCUAUGAAUGGGAAAGGAGAAGGUGGCAUAAGUUCGGACCCAGAGUGUGCUACAGUUCUUGGUCUUUAGAACCAACAGACCCCCUGAAGAGUGAGAAACUGGGUCUUCCUCAGCCUAGAACUUCCAGCCAGCAGUCCAGAGUUUAGGCACAGCUAAAGCAUAAUUAGGGGGUUGUGGGGAUGUGGUGGUGGUGUAGCCAACACUCUGAAAGCCUCCAGCACCCUCCCCCCUUCCCUGGAUGGGUGCCUUCUGCAGGAUGCCUUCCAGGGACUAAGGGUCUGGCUUAGGCCAUGGAAAGAUUCUUCCGUUUUGCCAAAAUGAGUGUUACCAGAUAACUGUCACUAGUGGAAUGUAUAUAUACAAAGAUUGCAAAUACUCUGUUUUUGAAGGAAUUUCAUUUUUAUUUCUGAUUUCUUGGACUGUGAAGUCUUCACUCUUAAUUAGCAAGAAAGAAAAAAUGAUGUGAAUGAGGUGCUGUCCUGAAAAGAAUCAGGAGUGAGUUUUUAGGCAUUGACAUCAUUGACCAAGCUCAGGGACAUUGCCAGGAGUGAGCUGAAUUCGUUGCUAACUUCGAAUGUGGGAGGGCUGGGGUGAAUGGUCACUGUGAACCCCAGCUGUCAGCCCCUGAAACCUGGUGGACCCAACCCUGACUCCAGAGAUAGAGGAGUUCUUCUCAUCAGCCUAACUCUAACCUGAACUCACUGGGUCACCUUGAGCAUGUCACCAGGGCUUUCUGAGCCCUAGCCCCUUGUCUUUAAGAUAAGGGGUGGAAUUAGAGCACCAUAAACUGAGCUUUAUGGAGCUCCAGACUUCCAGGAGUGUGUGCCUGGAGGUGGGGGGUGGAGGACAAACAGAGAGGGAAUGUUCCCUUCCCGCAGUCUUGCCUUUAAGGACAGUAGCUCUGCCUCUAGGUUUUAUAUAUUUGUGUACAUGUAAAUUUUUCUUUGAAGCAAAUUUUAAAGAUUAACCACCAAUCAACUAGGUAUUUUAUUCUAGUUGUGGAUUAGAAUUUCCUGGAGCAUCUUCCAGUACAGAACAAAACAAAAACACACAUCUCUACAUCUCUUCUCCACUUCACUUCCCUACCACCCUGCCCAAAUAUCCUGCCAUAAUAGGUUGGCAGUGAGGUCCCAAGCAUCAGUAUUUCUGAGUAGUAAAUGGCUGAGAAAUCCCCAGAGAUCCUGACCUCUGACCUGGUGUUCCUCCCCAGGCAUGCCAGGGAAGAGUAACGUGGCAUCUCUGCGCCAGGCCCCUGGGCAGAACGGAACCAGCUUCCACGGCUGCAUCCGGAACCUUUACAUCAACAGUGAGCUGCAGGACUUCCAGAAGGUACCAAUGCAAACAGGCAUUUUGCCUGGCUGUGAGCCAUGCCACAAGAAGGUGUGUGCCCAUGGCACAUGCCAGCCCAGCAGCCAGGCAGGCUUCACCUGCGAGUGCCAGGAAGGAUGGAUGGGACCCCUCUGUGACCAACGGACCAAUGACCCUUGCCUUGGAAAUAAAUGCGUACAUGGCACCUGCUUGCCCAUCAAUGCGUUCUCCUACAGCUGUAAGUGCUUGGAGGGCCAUGGAGGUGUCCUCUGUGAUGAAGAGGAGGAUCUGUUUAACCCGUGCCAGGCGAUCAAGUGCAAGCAUGGGAAGUGCAGGCUUUCAGGUCUAGGGCAACCCUACUGUGAAUGCAGCAGUGGAUACACGGGGGACAGCUGUGAUCGAGAAAUCUCUUGUCGAGGGGAAAGGAUAAGAGAUUAUUACCAAAAGCAGCAGGGCUAUGCUGCUUGCCAAACAACCAAGAAGGUGUCCCGAUUAGAGUGCAGAGGUGGGUGUGCAGGAGGGCAGUGCUGUGGACCGCUGAGGAGCAAGCGGCGGAAAUACUCUUUCGAAUGCACUGACGGCUCCUCCUUUGUGGACGAGGUUGAGAAAGUGGUGAAGUGCGGCUGUACGAGGUGUGUGUCCUAAACACACUCCCGGCAGCUCUGUCUUUGGAAAAGGUUGUAUACUUCUUGACCAUGUGGGACUAAUGAAUGCUUCAUAGUGGAAAUAUUUGAAAUAUAUUGUAAAAUACAGAACAGACUUAUUUUUAUUAUGAGAAUAAAGACUUUUUUUCUGCAUUUGG
This 2950-nucleotide small RNA is filed under the name Pan troglodytes (chimpanzee). Its description in RNAcentral is "retained intron". Lineage: Eukaryota; Metazoa; Chordata; Mammalia; Primates; Hominidae. The record is from RNAcentral.